GACGAACGCUGGCGGCGUGCUUAACACAUGCAAGUCGAACGGAGCACCCUUGAAGGAGUUUUCGGACAACGGAGAGGAAUGCUUAGUGGCGGACUGGUGAGUAACGCGUGAGGAACCUGCCUUUCGGAGGGGGACAACAGUUGGAAACGACUGCUAAUACCGCAUGACACAUUUGGACCGCAUGGUCUGAAUGUCAAAGAUUUAUCGCCGAAAGAUGGCCUCGCGUCUGAUUAGCUUGUUGGUGAGGUAACGGCUCACCAAGGCGACGAUCAGUAGCCGGACUGAGAGGUUGGCCGGCCACAUUGGGACUGAGAUACGGCCCAG
Molecule: ribosomal RNA, 324 nt
Filed under: uncultured bacterium
Lineage: Bacteria
Description: bacterial SSU rRNA
Rfam family: Bacterial small subunit ribosomal RNA
Source: RNAcentral